AAAUAUACUUUCUUUAUUUUAUAGAAAUAAAUUGAUUUUUGAGUUAAAAAGCUCAAAUAAAUAUAGUAGACGAGAAGACCCUAUAGAACUUUAUAUAUAUUCAUAAAUAUAUAUAUUUGGAAAUAUAUAUAUAUAUAUAUCUAUAUAUUUUGUUGGGGUGACAGGAAAAAUUUAUUAACUUUUUUAAGUUAUAUCAUUUAUAUAUGAUUAUUUGAUCCUAUUAUUAUAGAUUAAUAGAUUAAGUUACCUUAGGGAUAACAGCGUUAUUAUUUUAGAGAGUUCAUAUCGAUGAAAUAGUUUGCGACCUCGAUGUUGGAUUAUAAUUAAUAAUAGAUGUAGCAGUU
RNAcentral lists this ribosomal RNA (344 nucleotides) under Bothriomiris sp. UNSW ENT 00029094. Its description in RNAcentral is "partial 16S ribosomal RNA". The record is from RNAcentral. Lineage: Eukaryota; Metazoa; Arthropoda; Insecta; Hemiptera; Miridae.